UGCUAAUACAUGCAAGUCGAGCGGACUUGCUGGAGCUUGCUCCAGCAGAGUUAGCGGCGGACGGGUGAGUAACACGUGGGCAACCUGCCUGUAAGACUGGGAUAACUCCGGGAAACCGGAGCUAAUACCGGAUAGUAUCUUGAACCGCAUGGUUCAAGUUGGAAAGACGGUUUCGGCUGUCACUUACAGAUGGGCCCGCGGCGCAUUAGCUAGUUGGUGAGGUAAUGGCUCACCAAGGCAACGAUGCGUAGCCGACCUGAGAGGGUGAUCGGCCACACUGGGACUGAGACACGGCCCAGACUCCUACGGGAGGCAGCAGUAGGGAAUCUUCCGCAAUGGACGAAAGUCUGACGGAGCAACGCCGCGUGAGUGAUGAAGGUUUUCGGAUCGUAAAACUCUGUUGUUAGGGAAGAACAAGUGCGAGAGUAACUGCUCGCACCUUGACGGUACCUAACCAGAAAGCCACGGCUAACUACGUGCCAGCAGCCGCGGUAAUACGUAGGUGGCAAGCGUUGUCCGGAAUUAUUGGGCGUAAAGCGCGCGCAGGCGGUUUCUUAAGUCUGAUGUGAAAGCCCCCGGCUCAACCGGGGAGGGUCAUUGGAAACUGGGAAACUUGAGUGCAGAAGAGGAGAGUGGAAUUCCACGUGUAGCGGUGAAAUGCGUAGAGAUGUGGAGGAACACCAGUGGCGAAGGCGACUCUCUGGUCUGUAACUGACGCUGAGGCGCGAAGGCGUGGGGAGCAAACAGGAUUAGAUACCCUGGUAGUCCACGCAGUAAACGAUGAGUGCUAAGUGUUAGAGGGUUUCCGCCCUUUAGUGCUGCAGCUAACGCAUUAAGCACUCCGCCUGGGGAGUACAGUCUCAAGACUGAAACUCAAACGUACUCGACGGGGGCCCGGACAUGUCGGUGGAACAUGUGGGAUUAACUUUCGAGCGAAGCGUAUAAGACCUAUCCGUGCUGAGAUCGUUUGUCGACUACUAUUAAUAACAAAGAUGUCUUCAUGGGACUAAACUGACGGACUGUGGGAUUGAUGGCC
This 1036-nucleotide ribosomal RNA is filed under the name Firmicutes bacterium 00DQ9. RNAcentral's name for it is "bacterial SSU rRNA". It matches the Rfam family "Bacterial small subunit ribosomal RNA", at positions 45 to 1054 of the family's 1533-position model. The record is from RNAcentral. Lineage: Bacteria; Bacillati; Bacillota.